RNAcentral lists this ribosomal RNA (200 nucleotides) under uncultured bacterium. RNAcentral describes it as "partial 16S ribosomal RNA". It matches the Rfam family "Bacterial small subunit ribosomal RNA", at positions 28 to 217 of the family's 1533-position model. The record is from RNAcentral.
GAUGAACGCUGGCGGCGUGCCUAAUACAUGCAAGUCGAGCGAACAGACGAGGAGCUUGCUCCUCUGACGUUAGCGGCGGACGGGUGAGUAACACGUGGAUAACCUACCUAUAAGACUGGGAUAGCUUCGGGAAACCGGAGCUAAUACCGGAUAAUAUAUUGAACCGCAUGGUUCAAUAGUGAAAGACGGUUUUGCUGUCA